AUGAGGAUACCUUGGAGUGUGACGUGGUUCCUAUGUCCGUGUGCCAUCUUCUCCGGAAGACCCUUUCAAUUCGACCUCGGCGUCAUCCACAAUGGGAGAACAAACCACUAUAGUUUCAAGAUGAAGGGAACAAAGUACGUGCUACAACCUAUGUCACCAGGCCAAGUGAUAGCCGACAAGAAAGCAUCUACCCAUCAUGGAGAGACUAGUGAGAGAGUGAACCACCACAAAGUGAGUGAGCGCCACAAGCCACAAUUGAGUGACUCUUUGCCAAAAGAGAAAAACUUGGUCCUCCUAGCCACAAAAAGAGAGAUGAGAGAAGUGUGUGAGGACCCAUCGAGUGUCAUGCACUACGUCCUAUUGUGCAAAGAUGAGGUGGCAAAGACUAACACUCCUAAUCCCCUUCCUCUAGUGUUGGCUGAUUUGUUGCAGGAAUUCAUGGAUGUCUUUCCCGAUGAGCUACCUCCCGGUCUUCCUCCUCUGCGUGGCAUCGAACAUUCAAUCGACCUCAUCCCCGGCGCACCUCUUCCUAACAAGGCUCCAUACCAUGUCAACCCCGAAGAAACCAAGGAAAUACAAAGGCAAGUCCAACAUCUCAUAGAUCAUGGAAAUGUGCGUGGAAGUUUGAGUCCUUGUGUCAUACCGGUAAUUCUUGUGCCAAAAAGAGACGAUAGCUUUUGCAUGUGUUCCGAUUGUAGACCUAUCAAUGCUAUCACCGUUCGAUAUAGGCGUCCCAUUCCACACCUUGAUGAUAUGCUAGAUGAGUUUAGCGGUACCUCCAUUUUCUCUAAAAUUGAUCUUAAAAGUGGCUAUUAUCAAAUCCGCAUACAAGAAGGUGAUGAAUGCAAAACCGCUUUCAAAACAAAAUUUGGCUUGUACGAGUGGUUAGUUAUGCAUAUGGGUUUAUCCGAAGCACCUGGUACUUUCAUGAGAGUUAUGGAUUACGUGCUUCGCCCUUACAUUGGUGUGUUUGUUGUAGUUUACUUUGAAGACAUUCUUGUGUUUAGAAACUCCCUCAAGGAACAUGAAGAUCAUCUUAGGGCGGUUUCACAAACUCUUAGAAAAGAGCGACUUUAUGCCAACAUGGAAAAAUGCACAUUUGACGUUGACAAGAUUGUUUUCUUGGGAUUCGUUGUGUAUUCAAAGGGUGUUCAUGUAGAUGAGUCUGAAAUUGAAGCAAUUAAAACUUGGCCACAACCCACUAAUUUGCAACAAGUGCGUAGUUUCCUUGGUCUAGUAGGUUUUUAUCGUCGCUUUGUGAAAUACUUUAGCACUACUGCCGCACCGUUGCAUGCUUUGAGUAAGAAGAAUGCACCCUUUGUUUGGUGA
This 1329-nucleotide ribosomal RNA is filed under the name Triticum aestivum (bread wheat). RNAcentral's name for it is "partial small subunit ribosomal RNA". The record is from RNAcentral. Lineage: Eukaryota; Viridiplantae; Streptophyta; Magnoliopsida; Poales; Poaceae.